UUGGGUUUAAAGGGUCCGUAGGCGGUUUUUUAAGUCAGAGGUGAAAUCCUGCAGCUCAACUGUAGAAUUGCCUUUGAUACUGAAAGACUUGAGUUAUUGUGAAGUGGUUAGAAUGUGUGGUGUAGCGGUGAAAUGCAUAGAUAUCACACAGAAUACCAAUUGCGAAGGCAGAUCACUAACAAUAUACUGACGCUCAGGGACGAAAGCGUGGGUAGCGAACAGGAUUAGAUACCCUGGUAGUCCACGCCGUAAACGAUGGAUACUAGCUGUAUGUCUACUUCAGGUAGAUGUGUGGCUAAGCGAAAGUGAUAAGUAUCCCACCUGGGGAGUACGAUCGCAAGAUUGAAACUCAAAGGAAUUGACGGGGGCCCGCACAAGCGGUGGAGCAUGUGGUUUAAUUCGAUGAUACGCGAGGAACCUUACCAGGGCUUAAAUGUAACGGGACAGAUCUAGAGAUAGAUCCUUCUUCGGACUCAUUACAAGGUGCUGCAUGGUU
RNAcentral lists this ribosomal RNA (496 nucleotides) under uncultured Flavobacteriaceae bacterium. Its description in RNAcentral is "bacterial SSU rRNA". It matches the Rfam family "Bacterial small subunit ribosomal RNA", at positions 554 to 1050 of the family's 1533-position model. Lineage: Bacteria; Pseudomonadati; Bacteroidota; Flavobacteriia; Flavobacteriales; Flavobacteriaceae. The record is from RNAcentral.